This 468-nucleotide ribosomal RNA is filed under the name uncultured bacterium. RNAcentral describes it as "partial 16S ribosomal RNA". It matches the Rfam family "Bacterial small subunit ribosomal RNA", at positions 28 to 507 of the family's 1533-position model. The record is from RNAcentral.
GACGAACGCUGGCGGCGUGCUUAACACAUGCAAGUCGAACGGAAAGGCCCUGCUUUUGUGGGGUGCUCGAGUGGCGAACGGGUGAGUAACACGUGAGUAACCUGCCCUUGACUUUGGGAUAACUUCAGGAAACUGGGGCUAAUACCGGAUAGGAGCUCCUGCUGCAUGGUGGGGGUUGGAAAGUUUCGGCGGUUGGGGAUGGACUCGCGGCUUAUCAGCUUGUUGGUGGGGUAGUGGCUUACGAAGGCUUUGACGGGUAGCCGGCCUGAGAGGGUGACCGGCCACAUUGGGACUGAGAUACGGCCCAGACUCCUACGGGAGGCAGCAGUGGGGAAUAUUGCACAAUGGGCGGAAGCCUGAUGCAGCAACGCCGCGUGCGGGAUGACGGCCUUCGGGUUGUAAACCGCUUUCGCCUGUGACGAAGCGUGAGUGACGGUAAUGGGUAAAGAAGCACCGGCUAACUACGUG